This is a long non-coding RNA of Felis catus (domestic cat), 366 nucleotides long. RefSeq lists it as uncharacterized. The transcript is spliced from 2 exons. The record is from RefSeq and is a predicted model, not a curated record. Lineage: Eukaryota; Metazoa; Chordata; Mammalia; Carnivora; Felidae.
GGGUCAGGUGUGUGGUGUUGAGCUUGGUUCCUCCGCCUCCCAAACAAACUCGUUUUGCUGGGAAGAGGACUGGCUGCUUUGUAUUUAAAGUUACCAGCAUUCUUGUUCUCGGCUGAGAAAUGGACACUGGAAGGUGCCACAUAACCCGGCAGGGAACGUGGGAAGGCUGCUGGUGAGCUCACUUUCCUCCCCUAAAGGCUCCAGGCAUCCUGAUCAGUCCUGCCUCCGCACCUCUGCCCAGGCUGUGCGAGACCCAGACCGCCUGCUCUCCCCACCGCACCUCUGCAAGGCCUUCCGUCUCCAGCGCCUGACCACAGCUCUCACGCGUCUCUUUGGGAAGUUAGCCGCGAUGGCCCCAGGUGAAGG